UAAAUUUUUAUAUUAGUUAAUGUUGAAUAAUUAUUAAUAAUUUAAAUUUAGAAGUGAAAUGUUAAUCGAUUUAAAAGAUAUCUAGUUUUUUUAGAAUUAAAUUUAAUUUAAAAUUUAAAUAGAAAAUUUAUAAAAUUUAUUUGUAAAUUUAUAUUUAAAUUUUACUAUUUUUAGGAUAACCUAAGGAUAGAGUUAAUAAUUUUAAAUAAUAAGUUAUAUUAAAAUAUUUAUAGUAAUAGAAAUUUUUAAUAAGUAUGUUUUAAUUUAAAAUUGAAAGUAUAAAAAUAAUUUAAAAAAAAAUUUUAAAUAGUAUAAAAAAAUAUUAAUGAGUAAAAUAAAGUUAAAAUGAUAAUAUUAGUAAAAAAAAUAUUAAGAUAAAAAAUAUUAAAAAUUUAAUAUUAAAGAAUUCGACAAAAAAUUUAUCCACCUGUUUAGCAAAAACAUGGUUUGUAGAAUAUAAUUAUAAAUCUAUUCUGCCCACUGAAUUAUAAAUUUAAAUGGCUGCAGUAUUUUGACUGUACAAAGGUAGCAAAAUCAAUUGUUUUUUAAUUAAAAACUAGAAUGAAAGAAUUAAUGAGAUAAAGAUUGUUUCAAUAUUAUAAAUUGAAUUUAAAUUUUAAGUUAAAAUGCUUUAAAUAAAUUUAUUAGACGAUAAGACCCUAUAGAAUUUUAUAAAAUUUAAUAUAAAGAGUUUUUAUGAAAAAUUAAAUUAUUUAUAUUAUUUAUAUUUAAUUGGGAGGAUUGUAAAAAUAA
Molecule: ribosomal RNA, 753 nt
Filed under: Parancistrocerus sp. 1 DAN-2022a
Lineage: Eukaryota; Metazoa; Arthropoda; Insecta; Hymenoptera; Vespidae
Description: partial large subunit ribosomal RNA
Rfam family: Bacterial large subunit ribosomal RNA (bases 419-583)
Source: RNAcentral